RNAcentral lists this ribosomal RNA (250 nucleotides) under uncultured bacterium. RNAcentral's name for it is "partial 16S ribosomal RNA". It matches the Rfam family "Bacterial small subunit ribosomal RNA", at positions 524 to 773 of the family's 1533-position model. The record is from RNAcentral.
AACGUAGGAGGCGAGCGUUAUCCGGAUUUACUGGGCGUAAAGCGCACGCAGGCGGCGGUGUGAGUCGGACGUGAAAGCUCCUGGCUUAACUGGGAGAGGUCGUUCGAUACUGCACGGCUUGAGGUUGGGAGAGGGGUGCGGAAUUCCCGGUGUAGUGGUGGAAUGCGUAGAUAUCGGGAGGAACACCAGUGGCGAAGGCGGCACCCUGGCCCACACCUGACGCUGAGGUGCGAAAGCGUGGGUAGCAAAC